This 1047-nucleotide long non-coding RNA is filed under the name Oreochromis niloticus (Nile tilapia). Its description in RNAcentral is "lncRNA (ENSONIG00000037879.1)". Lineage: Eukaryota; Metazoa; Chordata; Actinopteri; Cichliformes; Cichlidae. The record is from RNAcentral.
AUGGAGAUCUUCUACACCUUAGUUUUAUUGUUGUUGGCGAUAUUCACCUGGAGUCAUUCACUCUCACUGACAAUCACUUAUACACGCGAGGAACUACUUGGAUUACGGUGGUCCUGUUUGUCUAUGUACGACUCUUCUAAUGCUCGGACAGAUGUGAUUCUUGGUGAGGAUUUAUUUGCCCGGUCAAAGACUAAUUUUGGAAAGCCCCGCCGCUUGAGAAAACGCGGAAAGAAAGGCGGCGUGCGUCAGCGUGUAAGAAAACUUCGGAGGAAGAAUCGUGUUCCUCUGCCUUCUAUGAUUCCGACCAGUGUCCAAUCUCUUAGGAACAAAACGGAUGAAUUACAAGGAAAUGUGCUUCAUCUACGGGAAUACAGUGAGGCUUGUCUGAUGGCGCUUACAGAGACAUGGCUGACCGAUAUGGACAGUGACACUUCACUGCGAAUCAGCGGCUUUGGGACCCCUGUGAGAUUGGAUCGGAAUUGUGGAGUAACACGCAAAUCUCACGGAGGAGGGGUAUGUUUGUAUAUCAACCAGGGCUGGUGUAAUAAUUUUACUGUGCGGGAGCGGUUGUGUCUUCCUGACAUCGAGCUCCUUUCAGUAUCUGUCAGGCCUUUUUACUUACCGAGGGAGUUCCCUCAAAUUUUUGUCACUGUUGUUUACAUUCAUCCUAAAGCUGACGUUAAAACUGCUGCUGACGCCAUUUUUAAAGUGGUACACAAUCUGCAGACUCUUUCUCCGGAUGCUCCUAAUUUUAUUCUUGGUGAUUUUAACAAUUGUAAUCUUAAGAAAUCACUGAACAAUUUCUUUCAAUAUGUCACUUGUCCUACAAGGCAUAACAAAACGCUGGAUUUGUGUUAUGGACCAAUUAAGGGGGCAUAUAAGUCUGUAGCUGGACCGGCGCUAGGUUCUUCGGAUCACAGUGUUAUUCAUCUCCUCCCUGCUUACAGAUCUGUGAUUAGGAGGGAGAAGGCCUGUGUGAAGGGGACUAAUGUCUGGACAAAAGACAGUUGUGUUGCCCUUCAGAGGUGUUUUGAUUGCACUGACUGA